Molecule: ribosomal RNA, 501 nt
Filed under: uncultured bacterium
Lineage: Bacteria
Description: partial 16S ribosomal RNA
Rfam family: Bacterial small subunit ribosomal RNA
Source: RNAcentral
AUUGAACGCUGGCGGCAGGCUUAACACAUGCAAGUCGAGCGGGGGAAGGUAGCUUGCUACCGGACCUAGCGGCGGACGGGUGAGUAAUGCUUAGGAAUCUGCCUAUUAGUGGGGGACAACAUCUCGAAAGGGAUGCUAAUACCGCAUACGUCCUACGGGAGAAAGCAGGGGAUCUUCGGACCUUGCGCUCAUAGAUGAGCCUAAGUCGGAUUAGCUAGUUGGUGGGGUAAAGGCCUACCAAGGCGACGAUCUGUAGCGGGGCUGAGAGGAUGAUCCGCCACACUGGGACUGAGACACGGCCCAGACUCCUACGGGAGGCAGCAGUGGGGAAUAUUGGACAAUGGGGGGAACCCUGAUCCAGCUAUGCCGCGUGUGUGAAGAAGGCCUUAUGGUUGUAAAGCACUUUAAGCGAGGAGGAGGCUACUCUAGUUAAUACCUAGGGAUAGUGGACGUUACUCGCAGAAUAAGCACCGGCUAACCCUGUGCCAGCCGCCGCAGUAA